Pelodiscus sinensis (Chinese soft-shelled turtle) is the source of this 1753-nucleotide non-coding RNA. The record is from RefSeq and is a predicted model, not a curated record. Lineage: Eukaryota; Metazoa; Chordata; Testudines; Trionychidae.
GCUCUCCCUUGCCAGGCCACCGAGAGUCCCAUCCUGUGCCUGACUGGGAAGCAGGAAGGGAUCAGAGGUGCGGCCGGACUCCUAAGCCCGUCGUCGGGAGCGGGUUUGGGCACCAUGACCGUGGGGGCCAGGCUGGGGGGGAAGGUGAAAGCCAAGUUCUCCCACUUGGGGCCUGGCGAGGACAAGGUCUCUAUCCUGAAGCGGCAGCAGGAGGAGGAGGACGGCGUGGGAGCCCCGGGCAGCCAGGCAGAGGAGGGGACCUGCCGCUCCCAGAAAGUACGCUUCGCCUGCGGCAGGAGGGCUGGGGAAGCAGGAGCAAGUGCAAGAGGAAGCUGAGAAAGUACAGCAAGAAUGUGGGCAAAGCUCUCCAGAAAGGAUGUCGCUACUUGGUGAUUGGCCUGCAGGGAUUAGCAACAGCCUAUGCAGCACCCUUUGGAGUGGCAGCCUCAGUAGCCUCUUUGGUCCGCUAGAGUGGCUUUACCUGUCAUAAGGGAAGAAGAAAUGAGCUUUCACAGAGGAGUGCAGUGAUUUGUACUUCCCUAGCAUUAGAGCCGCUGCUGGGACCUGUGUCUGAAAACUCUUUUCAACAACAGCAGUAUAUGAAGAUGCUGACGUGACAUAUUUUAAUGGACCAAGUGUGUUUCUCCAGUACCUUUCAUGCAACCAUCACAAGUGCUUUUUGGCUCUUAAAAUCAGAUUGAGUGAAAGAAUGUGCAAACCCAGGGAAAAACUUGUUGAUGAACUGAGCCAACAUAACUAUAUAACUAUAAAAUUUGUAGUUAUAAAUUAAUUAAUUUACUCAAAUUACUGAGGCUAUUUGUGAAAAGGAGCAAAGGGGAAGGGAAAGCAAGUAGACGAGGGAGAGAGGUAUGAGUGAACUGAAAGGGGGGAUGAGGCGGGAGAAGCAGUGAUUUGAUGCGGGCUACAAGAAGGAGGAGGAGUCAAAAUAAUGGAAGGAAAUGGAGAUAGUAAAGGUAGCAGGAAAAAUAGACUUAAAAGUAGCCUUUGAUUUAUUUGCUUGUGUAUUUUAAUGCUCCAUCAGUGACAGCUACAAUCAAUAUGUUUAGAUAUUGUAUGCAGAGCUUAACUCAGGGCAGAGACAAAGUAGUCCUACUUCAGUCUUGUUAAUUACAGAUGUUGAGAAAUCAUGCCUUGGGCCCUGCAAAAUCAUGAGAUUUGGGAACAAUCACCAGAUUUUUAAAAAGAUAUAUAUUUUGUUUGCUUUCUGGGUGUUGAGCCUUUAGGGUUUCCUCUAGUCAUACUUCUGAGCUUCUCUCUGCAAUUGUGAGGGCUAGAAAAUAACUUUAAAAAUGAAAGCAGAGAAUCUUGUGUAAUUACUUGACUCUGGGAGUUGUGGCUUUAUGGAAAGUACCAAAUAUUGCAAGACUCUCUGUAGUCACAUCUGAGGCCAAUAGAAUUCUACUAAUUCUGUAUUCAUUUCAUGUAAUGAAAGUGGCAGUGAUGGUGUAUCAAAAUGAAACUUUCAGAUGGCUGGGCUAUGAAAUCUGGAUGGAGAUCUCCUAAUAUCACACUGUGAAGAAGCAUUUUUCUUACUAAUAUUCAGAGUCCUAAGUUAUACUUUUCUGCUAAUUUUGCAACUAAAUUUUGUUGGCUUGUUCUCUUUGCCUUAUUAUGAAUGAACUGGAAUUGCUUCUUUAUCAAGCCCGAUUGUGUUUCUUUGAACAGUGAUCAGAAAAAUGAACACACAUCUAUAGUCUUUUCUAGUGGAACUGUAAAUAAAAGUAAAAUGUUU